UGUAAAUUGAUCCUCCAUUUACUCUUUCACAGAGAAACGCCAACAGGUAAAUUAAUGCUUUGUAGCAGCAAUAUAAUAUAGUGCAGUAUAACUUGUAGCAUGUCUAACUAUAGGUGGCUUAACAUAUAUCUUUGCAAUCUUUAACUAUCACCUUCACAUUAACUUGCUAACAUAUUGACUGUAAUCACAAACCUUGCUCUAGUUACAGUAACAAACAAUCACUUGGUCAUGGGGUUAAUCUCAAUCAUAAAUGAUGAAAACUAUUUCAUGAAAAUGUCCAUAUAUCUUGGCAUUGCAGAUUAUGGGAAUGAUCAUAUCGAAGAAACUCCCAAACGAUUUGCCCAAACCCUUGCAAAGCAAGACAUACAAACACAUGACCUCAAAGACCAAUGCAAUCUUCUGAAAACAAUAGUGCAGAAAAAGUAUUAUGAUCGUAAAAUAUAUGUAUAUGUCAAAAUCUACUUUCAUUACAACUGUCAGUUUUAAAAAAAAAUUGAUUCUCUUUUCUAUUUAAAGGUAUAAAGACAAUCUGGCCUCCGUUGAUUGGAUAGAUGUGUGGAAUACUUUCUCCAAUAGAGGAGUUAAAGAUGUACUGCAUCUUAUUGACCUGUUGAGGACCUUACCAGCUACAUCUGUUCCUAACGAAUCUGCCUUCAACCAGAUGAAGCUUACAAAAACAAACCGCAGACAGCGGCUGUCCAAUGCCCAUCUAAAUGACUGCAUGAACGUUAAGGCAAACUCAGAGACUGUUGAGGCAUUUGAUCCUACUCCUGCCAUUGAUAACUGGAUGAUGGGUUCCAAAAGUCCCAAGAAGGUUAUACUACAGGAGAAAAAUCAAUGAGAAAGAAAAGAUAGACCACAGACAUGAAACAGAAGGAAUUGUACUAGACGUAGAUGUUGGAAGUAGAGGUAGAUGAAACUGUACUUUAGUUGGAAAGGGCAAUGGGGUACUGACUCUAGUCAAUCAGGCAACUGCAGAUGUUACUGAAGCUGAGACAAUCAGUGAAGGGGACACGGAGAGUGAAUUUGAAGAGGAACCUGAGAGUGAAACAGACAGUGAAUUAGAGCAGAAUGAGGAAACAAAUGAAUUAUUGAUGACACAUAUCAUUCAUGAAAUUGAAACUGAAUGGCUUCUAAGAUUUUUACAUUUUAUUCCUACAUACAGUGAAGAAUUUAAUUGAUGCAUGUUAAUUAAAAAUGCAUU
Ostrea edulis (European flat oyster) is the source of this 1204-nucleotide long non-coding RNA. RefSeq lists it as uncharacterized. The transcript has 3 exons. NCBI's taxonomy places the organism in Eukaryota, Metazoa, Mollusca, Bivalvia, Ostreida, Ostreidae. The record is from RefSeq and is a predicted model, not a curated record.